Molecule: ribosomal RNA, 495 nt
Filed under: uncultured bacterium
Lineage: Bacteria
Description: bacterial SSU rRNA
Rfam family: Bacterial small subunit ribosomal RNA
Source: RNAcentral
GAUCAUGGCUCAGGAUGAACGCUGGCGGCGUGCCUAACACAUGCAAGUCGAGCGGUAUAUGCUGGAACGAAACUUCGGUCUAGAGAAGGCAUAGAGAGCGGCGGACGGGUGAGUAACGCGUAGGCAACCUGCCCCAUACAGAGGGAUAGCCUCGGGAAACCGGGAUUAAAACCUCAUAACGCGAGGAGUUCACAUGUUCUCCUCGCCAAAGAUUCAUCGGUAUGGGAUGGGCCUGCGUCUGAUUAGCUAGUUGGUGAGGUAACGGCUCACCAAGGCGACGAUCAGUAGCCGACCUGAGAGGGUAAUCGGCCACAUUGGAACUGAGACACGGUCCAAACUCCUACGGGAGGCAGCAGUGGGGAAUAUUGCACAAUGGGCGAAAGCCUGAUGCAGCAACGCCGCGUGAGCGAUGAAGGCCUUUGGGUCGUAAAGCUCUGUCCGUUGGGGAAGAAAAAAAUGACGGUACCCUUGGAGGAAGCCCCGGCUAACUACGUG